AACGCGAAGAACCUUACCAGGGUUUGACAUGCGCACGACAAGCCGUGGAAACACGGAGUUCCUUCGGGACGGGUGCACAGGUGGUGCAUGGCUGUCGUCAGCUCGUGUCGUGAGAUGUUGGGUUAAGUCCCGCAACGAGCGCAACCCUUAUCGCAUGUUGCCAGCGGGUUAUGCCGGGAACUCAUGCGAGACUGCCGGUGUCAAACCGGAGGAAGGUGGGGAUGACGUCAAGUCAUCAUGCCCCUUAUGCUUUGGGCUACACACAUGCUACAAUGGCGGAUACAAUGGGUUGCCAAACUGUGAAGUGGAGCCAAUCCCAUCAAAGUCCGUCUCAGUUCGGAUUGCAGGCUGCAACUCGCCUGCAUGAAGUUGGAAUCGCUAGUAAUCGUGAUCAGCACUGCCACGGUGAUA
This 411-nucleotide ribosomal RNA is filed under the name uncultured bacterium. Its description in RNAcentral is "bacterial SSU rRNA". It matches the Rfam family "Bacterial small subunit ribosomal RNA", at positions 958 to 1365 of the family's 1533-position model. The record is from RNAcentral.